This 57-nucleotide transfer RNA is filed under the name Cavia porcellus (domestic guinea pig). It matches the Rfam family "tRNA", at positions 8 to 63 of the family's 71-position model. Rfam says of the family: Transfer RNA (tRNA) molecules are approximately 80 nucleotides in length. Their secondary structure includes four short double-helical elements and three loops (D, anti-codon, and T loops). Further hydrogen bonds mediate the characteristic L-shaped molecular structure. tRNAs have two regions of fundamental functional importance: the anti-codon, which is responsible for specific mRNA codon recognition, and the 3' end, to which the tRNAs corresponding amino acid is attached (by aminoacyl-tRNA synthetases). tRNAs cope with the degeneracy of the genetic code in two manners: having more than one tRNA (with a specific anti-codon) for a particular amino acid; and 'wobble' base-pairing, i.e. permitting non-standard base-pairing at the 3rd anti-codon position. The record is from Rfam by way of RNAcentral. Lineage: Eukaryota; Metazoa; Chordata; Mammalia; Rodentia; Caviidae.
UAGCUCAGCGGCAUAAGCACCUGCCUUGCAAGCAGGUGGUCCUGAGUUCGAUCCCAG